CAGAAAAUAGUUUAGUUUAGAAUGCCAGCUUUGGGGGUUGGCGGUAGGGGUUAAAAUCUCCUUUUUCUGG
Molecule: transfer RNA, 70 nt
Filed under: Plotosus lineatus (striped eel catfish)
Lineage: Eukaryota; Metazoa; Chordata; Actinopteri; Siluriformes; Plotosidae
Also listed under: 1 other name
Description: tRNA-Pro
Rfam family: tRNA
About the family: Transfer RNA (tRNA) molecules are approximately 80 nucleotides in length.
Source: RNAcentral